GAUGAACGCUGGCGGCGUGCCUAAUACAUGCAAGUCGAACGAACAGACGCGUAUCUUGCUCCUCUGACGUUAGCGGCGGACGUGUGAGUAACACGUGGAUACCCUGCCUUUAAGAUUGGUUUAACUUCGUGAAACCAGUACUAAUACCGGAUCCUUUCUUCAUCCGCAUGGUUCAAUAGUGUAAGACGGUUUUGCUGUCCCUUCUAGUUAUAUCCGGGCUGCUUUAGCUAUUUGUUAAGGUAACGGCUUACCAAGGCGACGAUGCGUAGCCGACCUGCGAGGGUGAACGGCGACAGUGGAACUGAGACACGGUACAGAGUCCGAGGGGAGGCAGAAGUAGGGAAGCGUCCGAAAUGGGCGAAAGCCUGACGGAGCAACGCAGGGUGAGUGAUGAAGGGCUUCGGAUCGUAAAACGCUGUUAGGAGGGAAGAACAAAUGUGGAAGGAACUAUGCACGUGUUGACGGUACCUGAACAGAAAGCAACGGCUAACUACGUG
Molecule: ribosomal RNA, 497 nt
Filed under: uncultured bacterium
Lineage: Bacteria
Description: partial 16S ribosomal RNA
Rfam family: Bacterial small subunit ribosomal RNA
Source: RNAcentral